Molecule: long non-coding RNA, 1089 nt
Organism: Populus euphratica (Euphrates poplar)
Lineage: Eukaryota; Viridiplantae; Streptophyta; Magnoliopsida; Malpighiales; Salicaceae
Exons: 3
Source: RefSeq, a predicted model, not a curated record
AGUAUAUGCAAAACAAGACGUCAAACUUAACAAAUUUCCUUAUUAGAAAGUUGCUCUAAAGUUUUAUAUGGAAAAAAAAAAAAAUACCCUGUGAUUCUAGAAAUCUCCCACACCAAGCUAAAUUUGAAUUCAAUUGUAGUAAACCUCACCAACCCAAAAGUCAAAGAAUGGGAUAGCCAAAUGCAGUUUGUGGAGAAUAGCUAGUGAAGGUGAUUAUGGACAAAACUUAUUGAAAGGUAAGUGUGUGUUGUCCAUCACUUUAUGAAUUUUUUUUGGCAUUAAUCUUUUAUUUACCAUCUCCUUUUUCAUUUUAACAUCUGCAGAAGCAAGGCCACAAGCAGAUAACAUUCAAAUUUAUUGAAGCACAUUCAAUGUCAAGUGUAGGAAACAAAGAUUCUCUCUGCAUCAAUGCUAAAAUAACUAUAAAAUGGUAGGCCAUUGAGGCAAUAUAAUGGGGCAUUAACAAAAGAAAAGAAAACAUCUUGACCUUUUCUCUAUGACCAUAAACUGAACCUCUGUAUUUCACUAUCUUAACCACAAAGCAAACGAAAAAACAACCAUUAGCAAAAGGUUUCCCUAUAAGAAAUUGAAUAACAAUAACCCAAGAUGUGACUUCAAUAGUAAAUAGGAUCUGAAUAUCACUAAAAAUUGUAGAAUAUUACAGCUCCAGACAACGGAAAUAAUAGAUUUUCAUUGGAAAGUAGUUGUUCUAAGAUAUCAAGAAUAGAAAAGGAAGGAGAAAUAAAGAAAACAAAUGAACAAGUGAUGCAUUGCUGUAUCAUUGACAGCAAUAACCAUGUUAAUUGUUAGGUGAGUGGGAGUUCAUCCCACAUAAACUCACCAGUCACAUGGUUUAUGUGAUGUUAAGUUCAGCUGACUAAUGCUAUUUUAUAACAAUAUAAUGUUAUAAGCCCAGACUAUUCACGGGAAACUUUAAUGCUCCAUUUGCUUCAUGGUAAAUGGAAAGAAAUAAAGCAAUCCUCUAUGAUUUCAGAUCGCUAUUCCAUUUACUUCAUGGUCAUGUUAUAAGGUUGCAACUCUAAUAUCUCCUAAAAGUAAAUGAAAAGCAUAGAUGUGACAAAAAAAAUC